GAUGAACGCUGGCGGCGUGCUUAACACAUGCAAGUCGAACGGAAAGGCACUGCUUGCAGGGUACUCGAGUGGCGAACGGGCGAGCAACACGUGGGUGAUCUGCCCUGUACUUUGGGAUAAGCCUGGGAAAAUGGGUCUAAUACCGAAUAUGACAAACGUUUGGCUGCGAUAGUGGAAAGCUUUUGCGGUAUGGGAUGAGCUCGCGGCCUAUCAGCUUGUUGGUGGGGUAAUGGCCUACCAAGGCGUCGACGGGUAGCCGGCCUGAGAGGGUGUACGGCCACAUUAGGACUGAGAGACGGCCCAGACUCCUGCGUGAGGCAGCAGUGGGGAAUAUUGCACAAUGGGCGCAAGCCUGAUGCAGCGACGCCGCGUGGGGGAUGACGGCCUUCGUGUGGUAAGCUCCUUUCGCAACCGACGAAGCCUUUUUGUGACGGUAGGUUGAGAAGAAGCACCGGCUAACUACGUG
RNAcentral lists this ribosomal RNA (466 nucleotides) under uncultured bacterium. RNAcentral describes it as "partial 16S ribosomal RNA". It matches the Rfam family "Bacterial small subunit ribosomal RNA", at positions 28 to 507 of the family's 1533-position model. The record is from RNAcentral.